This 239-nucleotide ribosomal RNA is filed under the name uncultured bacterium. RNAcentral describes it as "partial 16S ribosomal RNA". It matches the Rfam family "Bacterial small subunit ribosomal RNA", at positions 15 to 249 of the family's 1533-position model. The record is from RNAcentral.
GAUCAUGGCUCAGGAUGAACGCUAGCGACAGGCUUAACACAUGCAAGUCGGAGGGGCAGCAUGAGGUAGCAAUACCUUGAUGGCGACCGGCGCACGGGUGAGUAACGCGUAUGCAACCUGCCCGAUACCGGGGUAUAGCCCAUGGAAACGUGGAUUAACACCCCAUAGUACUUUUAUCCUGCAUGGGAUGUGAGUUAAAUGUUCAAGGUAUCGGGUGGGCAUGCGUCCUAUUAGUUAGG